Molecule: ribosomal RNA, 253 nt
Filed under: uncultured bacterium
Lineage: Bacteria
Description: partial 16S ribosomal RNA
Rfam family: Bacterial small subunit ribosomal RNA
Source: RNAcentral
UACGGAGGGUGCAAACGUUGCUCGGAAUCAUUGGGCGUAAAGCGCACGUAGGCGGCCUGUUAAGUCGGGUGUGAAAGCCCUCGGCUCAACCGAGGAAGUGCAUUCGAAACUGGCAGGCUUGAGUAUGGAAGAGGGUCGCGGAAUUCCCGGUGUAGAGGUGAAAUUCGUAGAUAUCGUAAGGAAGACCAGUGGCGAAGGCGGGUCUCUGGACAGUUCCUGACGCUGAGGCACGAAGGUCAGGGGAGCAAACGGG